Molecule: ribosomal RNA, 855 nt
Filed under: uncultured crenarchaeote
Lineage: Archaea; Thermoproteati; Thermoproteota
Description: bacterial SSU rRNA
Rfam family: Archaeal small subunit ribosomal RNA
Source: RNAcentral
AUUGUAGCAUACAAGGCAUACGGCUCAGUAACGCGUAGUCAACCUAACCUAUGGACGGGAAUAACCUCGGGAAACUGAGAAUAAUGCCCGAUAGAACAUUAUGCCUGGAAUGGUUUAUGUUCCAAAUGAUUUAUCGCCGUAGGAUGGGACUGCGGCCUAUCAGUUUGUUGGUGAGGUAAUGGCCCACCAAGACUAUUACAGGUACGGGCUCUGAGAGGAGUAGCCCGGAGAUGGGUACUGAGACACGGACCCAGGCCCUAUGGGGCGCAGCAGGCGAGAAAACUUUGCAAUGUGCGAAAGCACGACAAGGUUAAUCCGAGUGGUUUCUGCUAAAGAAACCUUUUGUCAGUCCUAGAAACACUGAUGAAUAAGGGGUGGGCAAGUUCUGGUGUCAGCCGCCGCGGUAAAACCAGCACCUCAAGUGGUCAGGAUGAUUAUUGGGCCUAAAGCAUCCGUAGCCGGCUCUGUAAGUUUUCGGUUAAAUCUGUACGCUCAACGUACAGGCUGCCGGGAAUACUGCAGAGCUAGGGAGUGGGAGAGGUAGACGGUACUCGGUAGGAAGGGGUAAGAUCCUUUGAUCUAUUGAUGACCACCUGUGGCGAAGGCGGUCUACCAGAACACGUCCGACGGUGAGGGAUGAAAGCUGGGGGAGCAAACCGGAUUAGAUACCCGGGUAGUCCCAGCUGUAAACUAUGCAAACUCAGUGAUGCAUUGGCUUGUGGCCAAUGCAGUGCUGCAGGGAAGCCGUUAAGUUUGCCGCCUGGGAAGUACGUACGCAAGUAUGAAACUUAAAGGAAUUGGCGGGGGAGCACCACAAGGGGUGAAGCCUGCGGUUCAAUUGGAGUCAACGCCGGA